GAUGAACGCUGGCGGCGUGCUUAACACAUGCAAGUCGAACGAUGAAGCCCAGCUUGCUGGGUGGAUUAGUGGCGAACGGGUGAGUAACACGUGAGUAACCUGCCCUUAACUCUGGGAUAAGCCUGGGAAACUGGGUCUAAUACCGGAUAGGAGCGUCCACCGCAUGGUGGGUGUUGGAAAGAUUUAUCGGUUUUGGAUGGACUCGCGGCCUAUCAGCUUGUUGGUGAGGUAAUGGCUCACCAAGGCGACGACGGGUAGCCGGCCUGAGAGGGUGACCGGCCACACUGGGACUGAGACACGGCCCAGACUCCUACGGGAGGCAGCAGUGGGGAAUAUUGCACAAUGGGCGCAAGCCUGAUGCAGCGACGCCGCGUGAGGGAUGACGGCCUUCGGGUUGUAAACCUCUUUCAGUAGGGAAGAAGCGAAAGUGACGGGACCUGCAGAAGAAGCACCGGCUAACUACG
This 464-nucleotide ribosomal RNA is filed under the name uncultured bacterium. RNAcentral's name for it is "partial 16S ribosomal RNA". It matches the Rfam family "Bacterial small subunit ribosomal RNA", at positions 28 to 505 of the family's 1533-position model. The record is from RNAcentral.